CCUACGGGCGGCAGCCGUGGGGGAUAUUGCACAAUGGGGGAAACCCUGAUGCAGCGACGCCGCGUGGGUGAAGAAGCGCCUCGGCGCGUAAAGCCCUGUCAGCAGGGAAGAAAAUGACGGUACCUGAAGAAGAAGCCCCGGCUAACUACGUGCCAGCAGCCGAGGUAAUACGUAGGGGGCAAGCGUUAUACGGAUUUACUGGGUGUAAAGGGGGCGCAGGCGGCGAUGCAAGCCAGGAGUGAAAGCCCGGGGCCCAACCCCGGGACUGCUCUUGGAACUGCGAGGCUAGAGUGCAGGAGGGGCAGGCGGAAUUCCUGGUGUAGCGGUGAAAUGCGUAGAUAUCAGGAAGAACACCGGUGGCGAAGGCGGCCUGCUGGACUGCAACUGACGUUGAGGCCCGAAAGCGUGGGGAGCAAACAGGAUUAGAUACCCGAGUAGUC
This 440-nucleotide ribosomal RNA is filed under the name uncultured bacterium. RNAcentral describes it as "partial 16S ribosomal RNA". It matches the Rfam family "Bacterial small subunit ribosomal RNA", at positions 338 to 795 of the family's 1533-position model. The record is from RNAcentral.